This 31-nucleotide non-coding RNA is filed under the name Mus musculus (house mouse). RNAcentral also lists the same sequence under 1 other name. Lineage: Eukaryota; Metazoa; Chordata; Mammalia; Rodentia; Muridae. The record is from RNAcentral.
UUGACAGAUGGCUGAGAUCAGAGAAGGUAGC